Molecule: ribosomal RNA, 393 nt
Filed under: uncultured bacterium
Lineage: Bacteria
Description: bacterial SSU rRNA
Rfam family: Bacterial small subunit ribosomal RNA
Source: RNAcentral
GAAUGAACGCUGGCGGCGCGCCUAAUACAUGCAAGUCGAGCGAGAAGACGUAGCAAUACGUUUGUAAAGCGGCGAACGGGUGAGGAAUACAUGGGUAACCUACCCUCGAGUGGGGAAUAACUAGCCGAAAGGUUAGCUAAUACCGCGUACGCUUCUUGGACUUCGGUUCAGGGAGGAAAGCGAUGCCGAGGGUAUCGCGCUCUUGGAUGGGCUCAUGUCCUAUCAGCUUGNGGUGAGGUAACGGCUCACCAAGGCUUCGACGGGUAGCUGGUCUGAGAGGACGAUCAGCCACACUGGCACUGCGACACGGGCCAGACUCCUACGGGAGGCAGCAGUAAGGAAUAUUGCGCAAUGGGCGAAAGCCUGACGCAGCGACGCCGCGUGGGGGAUGAA